GGCACGAUGGCUGAGCGGUUAAAGCGUCAGACUAGAAUGCUGAGAAAGUAGAAUGACGAUUCACGAUUCUACAUUUCUCUUCGAUAUCAUCUGAUACCUUCGGGUGCGUAGGUUCGAAUCCUGCUCGUGUCG
Diatrype stigma is the source of this 132-nucleotide non-coding RNA. The record is from the annotation of a GenBank genome assembly. Lineage: Eukaryota; Fungi; Ascomycota; Sordariomycetes; Xylariales; Diatrypaceae.